GGCUCAGGAUGAACGCUAGCUACAGGCUUAACACAUGCAAGUCGAGGGCAGCGGGAUUGUAGCAAUACAAUUGCCGGCGACCGGCGCACGGGUGAGUAACACGUAUCCAACCUUCCGGUUACUCGGGGAUAGCCUUUCGAAAGAAAGAUUAAUACCCGAUAGUAUAAAUUUUCCGCAUGGUUUGUUAUUAAAGAUUCAUCGGUAACCGAUGGGGAUGCGUGCCAUUAGCUAGUCGGCGGGGCAACGGCCCACCGAGGCGACGAUGGCUAGGGGUUCUGAGAGGAAGGCCCCCCACACUGGGACUGAGACACGGCCCAGACUCCUACGGGAGGCAGCAGUGAGGAAUAUUGGACAAUGGAGGCAACUCUGAUCCAGCCAUGCCGCGUGAAGGACUAAGGCCCUAUGGGCUGUAAACUUCUUUAGACGCAGAGCAAUAAGGGCCACGCGUGGUCCGAUGAGAGUAUGCGUAGAAUAAGCAUCGGCUAACUCCGUG
Molecule: ribosomal RNA, 493 nt
Filed under: uncultured bacterium
Lineage: Bacteria
Description: bacterial SSU rRNA
Rfam family: Bacterial small subunit ribosomal RNA
Source: RNAcentral